CUAGAACAAAAGAUUUAACAUUUUCAUCAAUUUAUUUUAUUUCCAAUUUUAAUUUUUUUUAAAUGUAAAAAAACAUUUUUAAAAAAAAAAGACGAUAAGACCCUAUUAAACUUAACUUAAGUUAAACUGGGGAAGUAAAUUAAUUAUUAUUUUAAUUAUAAUUUUUAUAAAAAUAUCCAAUAUCAAUUGAUUAAUCAAGUUACUAUAGGGAUAACAGCGCAAUUAUAUUUUAAAGCUCUUAUUUAAAAAAUAGAUUACGACCUCGAUGUUGAAUUAAUAACCUAAUUUAAAGCAAAAAUUAAAAAAGGAAGUCUGUUCGACUUUUAAACAAUUACAUGAUUUGAGUUCAGACCGGUGUAAGCCAGGUCGGUUUCUAUCUUUUAAAAAAAUUUCUACAGUACGAAAGGACCUAAAAAAUUAAUUAAAUUAAUUAAUUGGCAGAUUAAUGCAUUAGAAUUAGAAUCUAAUAAAUCUCAA
RNAcentral lists this ribosomal RNA (477 nucleotides) under Saitis leighi. Its description in RNAcentral is "partial 16S ribosomal RNA". The stretch from base 86 to 382 matches the Rfam family "Bacterial large subunit ribosomal RNA", at positions 2074 to 2646 of the family's 2925-position model. The record is from RNAcentral. Lineage: Eukaryota; Metazoa; Arthropoda; Arachnida; Araneae; Salticidae.